RNAcentral lists this small RNA (1813 nucleotides) under Pongo abelii (Sumatran orangutan). RNAcentral's name for it is "retained intron". The record is from RNAcentral. Lineage: Eukaryota; Metazoa; Chordata; Mammalia; Primates; Hominidae.
GCUGCUGAGGCGUGAGAAUGGCGUAUCGCGGCCGGCGUCCGGAGCAUGGCGGACCCCCAGAGCUGUUUUAUGACGAGACAGAAGCCCGGAAAUACGUUCGCAACUCACGGAUGAUUGAUAUCCAGACCAGGAUGGCUGGGCGAGCAUUGGAGCUUCUUUAUCUGCCAGAGAAUAAGCCCUGUUACCUGCUGGAUAUUGGCUGUGGCACUGGGCUGAGUGGAGGUUAUCUGUCAGAUGAAGGGCACUAUUGGGUGGGCCUGGAUAUCAGCCCUGCCAUGCUGGAUGAGGCCGUGGACCGAGAGAUAGAGGGAGACCUGCUGCUGGGGGAUAUGGGCCAGGGCAUCCCAUUCAAGCCAGGCACAUUUGAUGGUUGCAUCAGCAUUUCUGCUGUGCAGUGGCUCUGUAAUGCUAACAAGAAGUCUGAAAACCCUGCCAAGCGCCUGUACUGCUUUUUUGCUUCUCUUUUUUCUGUUCUCGUCCGGGGAUCCCGAGCUGUCCUGCAGCUGUACCCUGAGAACUCAGAGCAGGUGAGUCCCUCGGCUACUGGGUGUGCAGGGGAGUGGGGGGACUCAACAGGUAAGCUGUCCUGGGGAAGCGACAAAGAACCUUAUGCAGAUUGGCGGGAAAAGGAGGAACCAUGCACCCUAGUGUGGCCCCUGAUGGCACAUUUGACGACCUGAUAUCCUAAGGGGGUGGCAUCUGCGGAGGUGGGGUGGGAUGCCUUCUCUUGGCAGAUGACAUGGUAUUACAGAUAAGGUGAUGCGACUGAUUUCCAUAACCAAAUAAGUAAAUGCCAUUUAGGAAGGGUGAGAGGGCACCGGACAGUUCUCCGUUGUGUGAUGUAUAAUUAAGGAAUGGCGGAGUAGGAUGUAGAUGUUGAAAGAUAAGUGAAGAGCUGUCCCUGACUAAUAACAUGAAUGAGUCUGGAUUCCAAUUGGUGGCCAUCUCCUUCCUAAACUUGAGUGGGGAGCUGGGUCCCUGCACUGGAAAGUGAGAAUGAGGGGAGUUGCUUUGUUCUGUAAUUCUCCUGAGGGAGGUGUGGGCCAUGCCAGAUUCUAGCCUGUACUUUUCUCUAUGUGGCUUACAGCGACCUUAAGUUCUCCCAGGCAGGAUUCGUCCUGGAGCAGACUGGCUUCUGAAGGAGGGGAGGGAGGUGAAGCUGUCUGUUCCUCUCAACCUCCGCUGCCUGACCCACUGCCUUUCUUUCCUCAGUUGGAGCUGAUCACAACCCAGGCCACAAAGGCAGGCUUCUCCGGUGGCAUGGUGGUAGACUACCCUAACAGUGCCAAAGCAAAGAAAUUCUACCUCUGCUUGUUUUCUGGGCCUUCGACCUUUAUACCAGAGGGGCUGAGUGAAAAUCAGGAUGAAGAUGAACCCAGGGAGUCUGUGUUCACCAAUGAGAGGUUCCCAUCAAGGAUGUCGAGGCGGGGAAUGGUGAGGAAGAGUCGGGCAUGGGUGCUGGAGAAGAAGGAGAGGCACAGGCGCCAGGGCAGGGAAGUCAGACCUGACACCCAGUACACCGGCCGCAAGCGCAAGCCCCGCUUCUAAGUCACCAUGCGAUUCUGGAAAGGCACUUGCCUCUGCACUUUUCUAUAUUGUUCAGCUGACAAAAUAGUAUUUUAGAAAAGUUCUAAAAGUUCUAAAAAUGUUUUCUGCAGUUAAAAAAAAUUCUCUGGGCCGGGCGUGGUGGCUCAUGCCUGUAAUCCCAGCACCUUGGGAGGCUGAGGUGGGAGGAUCAUUUGAGGCCAGGAGUUUGAGACCUGCCUGGGCAACAUAAUGAAACUUCCUUUCUAGGGAGGAAAAAAAAGAAAAA